CCCUGCCAUUUGUACACACCGCCCGUCGCUACUACCGAUUGAAUGGCUCGGUGAGGCCUUCGGACUGGCCCAGGGAGGUCGGCAACGACCACCCAGGGCCGGAAAGUUGGUCAAACCCGGUCAUUUAGAGGAAGUAAAAGUCGUAACAAGG
Molecule: ribosomal RNA, 151 nt
Filed under: uncultured eukaryote
Lineage: Eukaryota
Description: partial small subunit ribosomal RNA
Rfam family: Eukaryotic small subunit ribosomal RNA
Source: RNAcentral